This 116-nucleotide ribosomal RNA is filed under the name Pteropus alecto (black flying fox). The record is from RNAcentral. Lineage: Eukaryota; Metazoa; Chordata; Mammalia; Chiroptera; Pteropodidae. RNAcentral also lists the same sequence under 1 other name.
AGCUAUAGCUGUGCUACCCUGAACAAGCCCAAUCCCGUCUGAUCUCAGAAGGUAAGGGUCAGGCCUGGUUAGUACUUGGAUGAGAGACCACCUAGGAAGACCAGGUGCUGUAGGUG